RNAcentral lists this ribosomal RNA (908 nucleotides) under Escherichia coli. RNAcentral's name for it is "partial 23S ribosomal RNA". It matches the Rfam family "Bacterial large subunit ribosomal RNA", at positions 243 to 1191 of the family's 2925-position model. The record is from RNAcentral. Lineage: Bacteria; Pseudomonadati; Pseudomonadota; Gammaproteobacteria; Enterobacterales; Enterobacteriaceae.
GUAGCGGCGAGCGAACGGGGAGCAGCCCAGAGCCUGAAUCAGUGUGUGUGUUAGUGGAAGCGUCUGGAAAGGCGCGCGAUACAGGGUGACAGCCCCGUACACAAAAAUGCACAUGCUGUGAGCUCGAUGAGUAGGGCGGGACACGUGGUAUCCUGUCUGAAUAUGGGGGGACCAUCCUCCAAGGCUAAAUACUCCUGACUGACCGAUAGUGAACCAGUACCGUGAGGGAAAGGCGAAAAGAACCCCGGCGAGGGGAGUGAAAAAGAACCUGAAACCGUGUACGUACAAGCAGUGGGAGCACGCUUCGGCGUGUGACUGCGUACCUUUUGUAUAAUGGGUCAGCGACUUAUAUUCUGUAGCAAGGUUAACCGAAUAGGGGAGCCGAAGGGAAACCGAGUCUUAACUGGGCGUUAAGUUGCAGGGUAUAGACCCGAAACCCGGUGAUCUAGCCAUGGGCAGGUUGAAGGUUGGGUAACACUAACUGGAGGACCGAACCGACUAAUGUUGAAAAAUUAGCGGAUGACUUGUGGCUGGGGGUGAAAGGCCAAUCAAACCGGGAGAUAGCUGGUUCUCCCCGAAAGCUAUUUAGGUAGCGCCUCGUGAAUUCAUCUCCGGGGGUAGAGCACUGUUUCGGCAAGGGGGUCAUCCCGACUUACCAACCCGAUGCAAACUGCGAAUACCGGAGAAUGUUAUCACGGGAGACACACGGCGGGUGCUAACGUCCGUCGUGAAGAGGGAAACAACCCAGACCGCCAGCUAAGGUCCCAAAGUCAUGGUUAAGUGGGAAACGAUGUGGGAAGGCCCAGACAGCCAGGAUGUUGGCUUAGAAGCAGCCAUCAUUUAAAGAAAGCGUAAUAGCUCACUGGUCGAGUCGGCCUGCGCGGAAGAUGUAACGGGGCUAAACCAUG